GAUGAACGCUAGCGGCAGGCUUACACAUGCAGUCGAGGGGUACAGUCCCGCUUCGGCGGGAGCUGACGACCGGCGCACGGGUGAGUAACGCGUAUGCAACUUUCCUGUAACUGGAGGAUAGCCCCUGGAAACGGGGAUUAAUACUGCGUAAUACCUAAAUACCGCAUGGUAUUAAGGUCAAAUCUACGGAGGUUACAGAUGGGCAUGCGUGCCAUUAGCUAGAUGGUAAGGUAACGGCUUACCAUGGCAAUGAUGGCUAGGGGUUCUGCAAGGAAGGCCCCCCACACUGGUACUGAGACACGGACCAGACUCCUACGGGAGGCAGCAGUGAGGAAUAUUGGUCAAUGGAGGCAACUCUGAACCAGCCAAGCCGCGUGAAGGAAGACUGUCCUAUGGAUUGUAAACUUCUUUUGUGGCAGAAUAAACUACCGUACUUGUACGGUAUUGCAUGUAUGCCAUGAAUAAGCAUCGGCUAACUCCGUGCCAGCAGCCGCGGUAAUACGGAGGAUGCAGGCGUUAUCCGGAUCUAUUAGGUUUAAAGGGUGUUCACGCUGCCUGGUAAGUCAGGGGUGAAAGUCGGUUGCUCAACGAUCGAAUUGCCUUUGAAACUGUCAGGCUCAAGUAUGGAUGCGGUAGGCGGAAUGUGUAGUGUAGCGGUGAAAUGCAUAGAUAUUACACAGAACACCGAUUGCGAAGGCAGUUUACCAAACCAGUACUGACGCUGAAGCACGAAAGCGUGGG
RNAcentral lists this ribosomal RNA (741 nucleotides) under uncultured organism. RNAcentral's name for it is "bacterial SSU rRNA". It matches the Rfam family "Bacterial small subunit ribosomal RNA", at positions 28 to 765 of the family's 1533-position model. The record is from RNAcentral.